Molecule: long non-coding RNA, 272 nt
Organism: Acanthopagrus latus (yellowfin seabream)
Lineage: Eukaryota; Metazoa; Chordata; Actinopteri; Spariformes; Sparidae
Exons: 3
Source: RefSeq, a predicted model, not a curated record
GCGAGACAGAAGGCUCUCAGAGUGACCAGCCAGGCGUGGGUCCCGGACAUCACUCACCAUAAGCAUCGCCUUCAGCAGGGACCCCGAUAAGUCACAGUGCCUGCUCUCCAUCGGAAUAGGCUGAUCAGCUGCCAGAAAUGCUUCAUGACUGAAUUCUGGAAUCACCAUAAGGUGGAAGCAGUUUGAGGAAAUAAUUCUGAGUGUGAAACAAGCUGAUAUUUCAUGGUAUGAAGUUACCCUGAUGUCGAUUUUUCAAGGAGACUUCAGACAAU